GUGCCAGCCGCCGCGGCAAUUCCAGCUCCAAUAGCGUAUACUAAAGUUGUUGCAGUUAAAAAGCUCGUAGUUGAAUUUCUGGUCUUGGAUUUCGGUCUGCCUCAAACGAGGUAUGUACCAGGGAUCUGAGACCAUCCUCGAGGAAAACAUAUCUGUCAUUAAGUUAAUGGGUAUGGGAUCCUCGUCAUUUACUGUGAGCAAAAUAGGGUGUUCAAAGCAGGCUUAUGCCGUUGAAUACAUUAGCAUGGAAUAAUAAGAUAAGACCUUGGUCUAUUUUGUUGGUUUGUACUCCAAGGUAAUGAUUAAUAGGGAUAGUUGGGGGUAUUCGUAUUCAAUUGUCAGAGGUGAAAUUCUUGGAUUUAUGGAAGACGAACUACUGCGAAAGCAUUUACCAAGGAUGUUUUCUUUAAUCAAGAACGAAAGUUAGGGGAUCGAAGAUGAUUAGAUACCAUCGUAGUCUUAACCCUUAACUAUGCCGACUAGGGAUUGAAGGACGUUUGUAACGACUCCAUCAGCACCUUAUGAGAAAUCAAAGUCUUUGGGUUCC
This 547-nucleotide ribosomal RNA is filed under the name uncultured Chrysophyceae. Its description in RNAcentral is "SSU rRNA". It matches the Rfam family "Eukaryotic small subunit ribosomal RNA", at positions 564 to 1115 of the family's 1831-position model. The record is from RNAcentral. Lineage: Eukaryota; Chrysophyceae.